Molecule: long non-coding RNA, 288 nt
Filed under: Elaeis guineensis (African oil palm)
Lineage: Eukaryota; Viridiplantae; Streptophyta; Magnoliopsida; Arecales; Arecaceae
Description: long non-coding RNA (EGUI_LNC051917)
Source: RNAcentral
ACUGCUAGGUGUCACUGAUGGAUUUUGGGAGCAAUUAGAAUGAUUUUGAUGAUCGAUCAUUCUAAUUGUCUGAAUCAGAAGAGUUCUGGUCCAUCGAAAGGAGUUUCGAUGAUGUCGAUGAUGAGAUCACGACAUGUCUCAUUACCAUACAGAAUUGAACCUAACUGAGUCACACAAAUAAGGGUUAGGGUCUGGAUGUCAUCAAUUGGGCUACCCCAAUUGAUUUGGAUAAGAUCCAAUUAGGUUCAAGAAAAUCGUGCUAGCACUCGAUUGAGCCUAACUUUCUCC